RNAcentral lists this non-coding RNA (45 nucleotides) under Schistosoma margrebowiei. Lineage: Eukaryota; Metazoa; Platyhelminthes; Trematoda; Strigeidida; Schistosomatidae. The record is from RNAcentral.
AUCCAGCUGGCGAGUGUCAAAUAGGACGAAAUGCGCGUCCUAGAU